AGUGAACGCUGGCGGUAGGCCUAACACAUGCAAGUCGAACGGCAGCACAGUAAGAGCUUGCUCUUACGGGUGGCGAGUGGCGGACGGGUGAGGAAUACAUCGGAAUCUACUUUUUCGUGGGGGAUAACGUAGGGAAACUUACGCUAAUAUCGCAUACGACCUUCGGGUGAAAGCAGGGGAUCUUCGCACCUUGCGGGAUUGAAUGAGCCGAUGUCGGAUUUGCUAGUUGGGGGGGUAAAGGCCCACCAAGGCGACGAUCCGUAGCUGGUCUGAGAGGAUGAUCAGCCACACUGGAACGGAGACACGGUCCAGACGCCUACGGUAGGCAGCAGUGGGGAAUAUUGGACAAUGGGCGCAAGCCUGAUCCAGCCAUACCGCGUGGGUGAAGAAGGCCUUCGGGUUGUAAAGCCCUUUUGUUGGGAAAGAAAAGCAGCAGGUUAAUACCCCGCUGUUCUGACGGUACCCAAAGAAUAAGCACCGGCUAACUUCGUG
This 492-nucleotide ribosomal RNA is filed under the name uncultured bacterium. Its description in RNAcentral is "partial 16S ribosomal RNA". It matches the Rfam family "Bacterial small subunit ribosomal RNA", at positions 29 to 507 of the family's 1533-position model. The record is from RNAcentral.